Molecule: ribosomal RNA, 460 nt
Filed under: uncultured bacterium
Lineage: Bacteria
Description: partial 16S ribosomal RNA
Rfam family: Bacterial small subunit ribosomal RNA
Source: RNAcentral
CCUACGGGAGGCAGCAGUGAGGAAUAUUGGUCAAUGGCCGGAAGGCUGAACCAGCCAAGCCGCGUGAGGGAGGAAGGCGCAGAGCGUCGCAGACCUCUUUUGCCGGGGGACAAAAGGCCUGACUCGUCCGGUCCUGAGUGUACCCGGAGAAAAAGCAUCGGCUAACUCCGUGCCAGCAGCCGCGGUAAUACGGAGGAUGCGAGCGUUAUCCGGAAUGAUUGGGCGUAAAGGGUGCGUAGGCGGCCUGCUAAGUCUGGAGUGAAAGGUACCGGCUCAACGGGUACAGGCUCUGGGAACUGGCGGGAUAGAGGGCAGGGGAGGGCGGUGGAACUCCAUGGGUAGCGGUAAAAUGCGGAGAUAAAUGGAAGGAAACCAGUGGCGAAGGCGGCCGACUGGCCUGUUGACUGACGCUGAGGCACGAAAGCGUGGGGAGCAAAUAGGAUUAGAUACCCGGGUAGUC